UAAAUGAGAUUUUCAAGUCGU
RNAcentral lists this non-coding RNA (21 nucleotides) under Arabidopsis thaliana (thale cress). Lineage: Eukaryota; Viridiplantae; Streptophyta; Magnoliopsida; Brassicales; Brassicaceae. The record is from RNAcentral.